ACCAGCAGUUCCCAUCCUCUCUCAGCCUGCCAAUACUUCUCGGUGCAUUGUACGAUCUGUGUCUGAGAACGUUAACCUGCAGUGAAAGUGUUCGCUAAUAGAAUGUGCUGCUUAGCAAAUGCCGAAACACUGAGGAUUUCAACAGAGCACUCUCGCUUUAAAAGUGCUUAGAAGCAAACUGAAAGUGGAAGGUCAGGAAUCACAGGCGCUGGGAAGGACCUGGACGCGUGGUGUACCUGGGGACACUGUCUCACAGCUCUGCAUUUGUAUUUGUUAAUUAAGUACUGACAAGUGAGUAGCAGCAAGUGCAGCAAUAUCGUGUUUGCGGACAGAAGCCCCUUUGGAGCCUGAGCCCGUCUGUCUCAGGACAGACACACAGCACAUGCUGCAGGAGGUAUCCAGGAAGGUGACGAGUGGGGAUUCAGAAAACAGGAGCGGCGCUUCUGAUGGACAAGAAGCGUCGUCCAUACUGAUUGACUGUUGGCAUGCGACUUACCACUGAGCAACUGCAUCUACACUGAUGCUAUGUUUAAAACCAUGCAUCCCCUGAGGUUAGUAACAUAUCUUCAGACAUAAAUUAAGUUGUUGAAGAGACAGCCUCAUAUAUUAGCAGAUCCAGUCUCUCAUAUUCUUGAAAACAAAUCACUUUAUUUUGAGAAGCAUGCUGCUGCUGUUUGGAUAAAAUAUCUGGUGUUAUUUUCUUCUUAAUGUUUUUUUUUUCUUUAUAUCAUAUAGGUCUGCUUUCUCCUUGAAGAGAUACCAAGCUGUCAUGAGGCAAGUGUCUUAAGCACCCAAUUCUGUGAUAACAUAAAGGAAAGUCUAAAGUUUUAUGUAUCUUAACGUUAUGCAGUGUAAGUAAUUCUACUGCCUUCAUAUCAUAGUAUGAAGGAUAUGGAAGUUUUAUUCUGAGAAAUG
RNAcentral lists this long non-coding RNA (915 nucleotides) under Anser brachyrhynchus (Pink-footed goose). RNAcentral describes it as "lncRNA (ENSABRG00000023204.1)". The record is from RNAcentral. Lineage: Eukaryota; Metazoa; Chordata; Aves; Anseriformes; Anatidae.